RNAcentral lists this microRNA (22 nucleotides) under Chiloscyllium plagiosum (whitespotted bambooshark). Its description in RNAcentral is "microRNA PC-3p-110167_5". The record is from RNAcentral. Lineage: Eukaryota; Metazoa; Chordata; Chondrichthyes; Orectolobiformes; Hemiscylliidae.
CCAAUAUUACUUGUGCUGCUGC